Molecule: long non-coding RNA, 204 nt
Filed under: Trifolium pratense (red clover)
Lineage: Eukaryota; Viridiplantae; Streptophyta; Magnoliopsida; Fabales; Fabaceae
Description: long non-coding RNA (TPRA_LNC009435)
Source: RNAcentral
UUUGUUAGGGUUUGAAAAACUUAUUUGAAAUAAUCAUAACUUUGAAAAAUUGUUUUGUGCUUUUCUUUUUGGUGUUGUUUAUGAGCUUAGUAGAGAAAUGGAUGUUAGAUUAUGGCUUUAAUUUUGUGAAACAAGGAAAAAUAAUUUUGAGUGUGUUCUUGAGGAUUUUAUGAACAUAUUUUUAGAAACUUUUGUUUUGAUGCU